UACGUAGGGUGCGAGCGUUAAUCGGAAUUACUGGGCGUAAAGCGUGCGCAGGCGGUUGUGCAAGACAGAGGUGAAAUCCCCGGGCUUAACCUGGGAACUGCCUUUGUGACUGCGCGGCUAGAGUGUGUCAGAGGGGGGUAGAAUUCCACGUGUAGCAGUGAAAUGCGUAGAUAUGUGGAGGAAUACCGAUGGCGAAGGCAGCCCCCUGGGAUAACACUGACGCUCAUGCCCGAAAGCGUGGGGAGCAAACAGG
This 253-nucleotide ribosomal RNA is filed under the name uncultured bacterium. RNAcentral's name for it is "partial 16S ribosomal RNA". It matches the Rfam family "Bacterial small subunit ribosomal RNA", at positions 524 to 776 of the family's 1533-position model. The record is from RNAcentral.